Molecule: ribosomal RNA, 292 nt
Filed under: uncultured bacterium
Lineage: Bacteria
Description: partial 16S ribosomal RNA
Rfam family: Bacterial small subunit ribosomal RNA
Source: RNAcentral
GUGUCAGCAGCCGCGGUAAGAAGUAGGGGGCGAGCGUUGUCCGGAAUUACUGGGCGUAAAGCGCGUGCAGGCGGCUUUGUAAGUCCCGUGUGAAAGCCUACGGCUCAACUGUAGGAGGCCGCGGGAUACUGCGAGGCUCGAGGGCAGGAGAGGGAAGUAGAAUUCCCGGUGUAGCGGUGAAAUGCGUAGAUAUCGGGAGGAAUGCCAGUGGCGAAGGCGGCUUCCUGGCCUGCCCCUGACGCUGAGACGCGAAAGCUGGGGGAGCGAACGGGAUUAGAUACCCUUGUAGUCC